RNAcentral lists this long non-coding RNA (319 nucleotides) under Gossypium raimondii (Peruvian cotton). RNAcentral's name for it is "long non-coding RNA (GRAI_LNC000074)". The record is from RNAcentral. Lineage: Eukaryota; Viridiplantae; Streptophyta; Magnoliopsida; Malvales; Malvaceae.
UUUAUGUGGCUUAUUAAAGCCCUAUUAUUUGUCUGAUAAUUCAAAUGCUUGAACCAUAUAAAAAUUAGAAAAAGAAAUUAAAAUGGAAAUUUGGGUGUCGGAAAAGUCAGUCUUUGUGGGUUAGUUUGAAAAGGGAAAAUUUUGGUGGCAAGAGUUUUUACAGUAGAAAGAAUGGAUGAAGAAGUGUAGAAGCAAAAAGGGAAGAAAAUGAGGGAAAAUAAAAAGAAAUUUAGGUACAAUAAGACACCACGCCGUGGCACGCCAGCAAAAAGUUAAAAGGUAUUAGUGUUAGGUAUCAAUAUAGUGGACUGAAAAAAAG